AAAACGACUCUCGGCAACGGAUAUCUAGGCUCUCGCAUCGAUGAAGAACGUAGCGAAAUGCGAUACUUGGUGUGAAUUGCAGAAUCCCGCGAAUCAUCGAGUUUUUGAACGCAAGUUGCGCCCGAAGCCAUUCGRCCGAGGGCACGUCUGCCUGGGUGUCACGC
This 164-nucleotide ribosomal RNA is filed under the name Quercus falcata. Its description in RNAcentral is "5.8S ribosomal RNA". It matches the Rfam family "5.8S ribosomal RNA". From Rfam's summary of the family: 5.8S ribosomal RNA (5.8S rRNA) is a component of the large subunit of the eukaryotic ribosome. It is transcribed by RNA polymerase I as part of the 45S precursor that also contains 18S and 28S rRNA. The record is from RNAcentral. Lineage: Eukaryota; Viridiplantae; Streptophyta; Magnoliopsida; Fagales; Fagaceae.